This 497-nucleotide ribosomal RNA is filed under the name uncultured bacterium. RNAcentral's name for it is "partial 16S ribosomal RNA". It matches the Rfam family "Bacterial small subunit ribosomal RNA", at positions 28 to 507 of the family's 1533-position model. The record is from RNAcentral.
GAUGAACGCUGGCGGCGUGCCUAAUACAUGCAAGUCGAGCGAACAGAUGAUUAGGGUGCUUCUCUCACGUUAGCGGCGGACGGGUGAGAAACACGUUGAUAACCUACCUAUAAUACUGGGAUAACUUCGGGACUCCUGAGCUAAUACCGGAUAAUUUAUUUAACCGCAUGGUUCAAUGGUUAUAGGCGGUGUUUCGGUCACUUAUAGAUGGAUCCGCGCCGCAUUAGCUAGUUGGUAAGGUAACGGCUUAGCAAGGCAACGAUGCGUAGCCGAACUGAGAGGGUGAUCGGCCACACUGGAACGGAGACACGGUCCAGACUACUACGGGAGGCAGCAGUAGGGAAUCUUACGCAAUGGGCGAAAGCUUGACGGAGCAACGCCGCGUGAGUGAUGAAGGUCUUCGGAUCGUAAAACUCUGUUAUUAGGGAAGAACAAAUGUGUAAGUAACUAUGCACGUAUUGACGGUACCUAAUCAGAAAGCCACGGCUAACUACGUG